This 85-nucleotide transfer RNA is filed under the name Cephalotaxus oliveri. Its description in RNAcentral is "tRNA-Leu". It matches the Rfam family "tRNA". From Rfam's summary of the family: Transfer RNA (tRNA) molecules are approximately 80 nucleotides in length. Lineage: Eukaryota; Viridiplantae; Streptophyta; Pinopsida; Cupressales; Taxaceae. The record is from RNAcentral.
GGGGAUAUGGCGGAAUUGGUAGACGCUACGGACUUAAAAUCCGUUGGUUUUAUAGACCGUGAGGGUUCAAGUCCCUCUAUUCCCA